GAGCAAUUUAGUCUCUCUGGGUCGGUCGUCGCGUUAACACUUUUUCGAUGGGUGCGAUCAGCGCGUAGAAUAUCUUGAAAAGUUUGUUCUCAAGGUUAUUAGUCGAAGGUGAAAAAUGAAUGAAUUAUAAAUUAUCGGCGGAAGUGAAUACUGAUGGUUGAUGUACUAAUUAUAAAUUUCCGUUGCAAACCAGUUAAUUCAGAAUUGUUAUCAUAGUUGAUCGAUGGGAUCCUAAAACUGGUUUUCUUUGUUCUAUCGCUUGCAUUUCCUUGAAGAAACCGUGAGAGUGAGUGUGCAUGUUUCCUUUCAUUCCUAGUGCCAGAAAUCGACGCCCGGAUAAAGAACACUACCGAUUUUUUAAAGAAGACAAGGCAUGGUGGCCGUGAAUCGUUGUAUGCACUUGUGCGGCAGUAGUGCGGAAGCAUCUGGAUGAUGGUUUUAUGACUUGUGUUGGAGAAGAACGCAAGUCCGGCAUCGCGAUAGAAUAUCAAACCCCAGUCAUCGCUGAGAACUGCACGCAGCAACCUGCACUCCGAUCGGAGAUUGCAAAUUCUUUUCUUCUGGAUAAUUGAUGUUUAUUUCAAGUGAUUUGUGAUGAGGCAUGCAUCCGUAUGGGUGUGCAUCCUGACAUUCUACAACCUCCAAUCUUCUUCGUUAGCCGCAAUCGUUCCACCACCAUGGAGUGACCCGAAUAAAAACCCCUGUGCUAGCCAGCCGGGAGGGUGGCAACUUCUCUAUUGGCCUCCUCUCAAGAAAUGUUUCAAAAUCUUCCAGCUUGGCUAUCCAUGCCCGGAAACAAUGGAGCUCAGUCCUGUUGGCGUAGGUUCCACCAGCACCGGAUCUACGGCUGAGUGUCGCUGUCCACCAGGAACCGCGCAAUCUCCGUUGACAAAAAGAUGCCAUCUACUGUUCGAACGAGGACCGUGUGAAUUUGGACAAUUUUUUGCACCGAUUGCGGAUUCAGAUGUGAAGAGUGCCAUACCGAAACAACGAUGGGGUACGUGUAAAUCGGCGGAAAUAUGUGAGAGUGGAAUGGUUUACUGGCCACAGGACAACAAAUGCUACCAGAUGCAUACCAAAGGACCCUGUACAAAAGGGAAAUUGAUGAGCUUAGAUAACGAUGGGAUAGCUAAAUGCAAGUGUGAAAAUGAAGGAGAAUUGAGUAAUUAUUUCUAUGAGGAGACAGAAACAUGCCAUGAAUUUUUUACUAAAGGACCAUGUUUGCGCACAGGGGAACUAUUUCUACCUUCUAAAAAAUGUGCAUGCCAUCAACGGUUACCGCAUUUCCAUAACGAAUCAAAUCAAUGUUACGAAAUUGGUACAAUUGGGCCUUGUCCUAUUGGGCAUACCUUCAUUAUUGCUGAUAAAAGAGGUCAACAAGAGGUAAGCUUAAUGAAGGCAGAAUGCCGCUGUAAAGAAAACUACGUGCUAUGGGCAAAUGGCUAUUGCUAUAAAUUGUACACACAAGGUCCGUGCGAAACAGGUUCGUUUUUGAUAGAUGCAAAUGUCUGUAUACCAAAUCCUUGUGAAAAAGGCAGAUUGUAUUUUCCCAAAGAAAAAACUUGUUAUCGAAUUGGCUCACAGGGUCCUUGCAGUCUCCAUCAAGUCGUGAUAUUUGACUUUACGACAAGACCCUCUUUGGACGGCAUUUCCUAUAACGGAAUCUGCGGCUGUUCUGGAGUUAUCCAUAAUCUGGAUCAAUCAUGCACAGAUGAUGAAGUUCCUAAAAGUGCUUGCGAUAGCACGCCUGAUAUGAUAGAGAUAAAUAAGCAGUGUUAUAAGCUUUAUACCCGCGGACUUUGUGGUCCUGGGCAGUGGCUGGAACCGAAGAAGACAUCGUCCAAUUUACGUGCAGCUACUUGUGUUUGUCGACCAGGAUAUACUCCGUACGAAGCACCGCUCCAAAACGGCGUAAUCGGCUGUCAACCCCCAGCCGUAGGACUUGCCAGGUAUUUGAAUAGGAAACGGAUCCUUUCGAUUAGAAUUGGAAAUAUUACGUUAGCUAUUCCACAAUAGCAAAGUAGCACUAACAAACCAUCGAUACUAAUCUAUUACCAAGCAUGUAACGCUAUUGUAACACAAAUGCAGUCGAUGACGCUAACUCUUUCCUUUAGUAGGUGUAACAGCAUGGACCGGUUAUGAAAGUUGGUGGUUCAUGAGUCUAUUAGGAUUUGCAUCGCCAGAACCAGAAGAAUACUGAGUUACCAAAAACAAGCGUGCUGUGGCAACGGAGUAUCCCGAUAAGCAACGAGAUAUUCACGAUAUUAGAUUGUAAGCUGUUAAGCAGGAAAUAUUCUGAUCGACCCCAGUCAAGUAAGCAAGUACAUUGCCUUCUAGCAAGUUAAUAGUUACGAUAAGUUAGAGUGCCAUAGUCGCAGAAAUGGUGUAAUAAAAAUACAUGGAACAUUCCAAAUGCCGAUGCCGACUGACUAGCUUAGGUGAAAUGAAAUGUACAAUAAAAGAAAAACAGAAAACAUAUUA
Aedes aegypti (yellow fever mosquito) is the source of this 2481-nucleotide RNA transcript. RefSeq lists it as uncharacterized. The record is from RefSeq and is a predicted model, not a curated record. The transcript is spliced from 5 exons. Lineage: Eukaryota; Metazoa; Arthropoda; Insecta; Diptera; Culicidae.